CGCGUAGGCGGCGCGGUAAGUCACUUGUGAAAUCUCUGAGCUUAACUCAGAACGGCCAAGUGAUACUGCAGCGCUAGAGUGCAGAAAGGGCAAUCGGAAUUCUUGGUGUAGCGGUGAAAUGCGUAGAUAUCAAGAGGAACACCUGAGGCGAAGGCGGGUUGCUAGGCUGACACUGACGCUGAGGCGCGAAAGCCAGGGGAGCAAACG
This 207-nucleotide ribosomal RNA is filed under the name uncultured bacterium. Its description in RNAcentral is "partial 16S ribosomal RNA". It matches the Rfam family "Bacterial small subunit ribosomal RNA", at positions 568 to 774 of the family's 1533-position model. The record is from RNAcentral.